This 815-nucleotide small RNA is filed under the name Pongo abelii (Sumatran orangutan). RNAcentral describes it as "processed transcript". The record is from RNAcentral. Lineage: Eukaryota; Metazoa; Chordata; Mammalia; Primates; Hominidae.
GAGCGACAGAUCUAUGCUUUUGAGGGAAGCUACCUGGAAGACACUCAGAUGUAUGGCAAUAUUAUUCGUGGCUGGGAUCGGUAUCUGACCAACCAAAAAAACUCCAAUAGCAAAAAUGAUCGAAGGAACCGGAAGUUUAAGGAAGCUGAGCGGCUCUUCAGUAAAUCCUCAGUUACUUCAGCAGCUGCAGUAAGUGCAUUGGCAGGAGUUCAGGACCAGCUCAUUGAAAAGAGGGAGCCAGGAAGUGGGACGGAAAGUGACACUUCUCCAGACUUCCACAAUCAGGAAAAUGAGCCCAGCCAGGAGGACCCUGAGGAUCUGGAUGGAUCUGUGCAGGGAGUGAAACCUCAGAAAGCUGCUUCCUCUACUUCCUCAGGGAGUCACCACAGCAGCCAUAAAAAGCGAAAGAAUAAAAACCGGCACAGGUCAGUGGCGGGGAUCCCACCCCCCGCAGCUCCCAUGACCAUUGCUGUGAAGGGAAUUGCGUAGAAUAAAAACUCUUUAGGAUUGCUGCAGACUCUUUCUGUUGCUGAUGGCAAGAAAGUCCUUAGGUCCAAGUGGACGGGCUAAUUUGCUCAAAGGGAGGAAUUGGUGGGCAUUAGAGUAACCCUCAAGGAAGACUCCAGGACAUUCUUCUCACUGUUUCUAGUGUAGAAUAGUUUUAUUCCAUAAAAACCUUGUUUCAUAUGGUGAAUAUGGAAUACUUUCAGAAGAGGAAAAGGAGAAAUAGAAAUGGAAUCUGUGUAAUAGUAUUUGAAAAAUGCCACUAGUACUUAUUGGGAAGCUGUAAAGUGGGAUAAAGUCUUCUGCUGGUA